UUGGGACUGAGACACGGCCCAAACUCCUACGGGAGGCAGCAGUGGGGAAUAUUGGACAAUGGGCGCAAGCCUGAUCCAGCAAUGCCGCGUGUGUGAAGAAGGUCUUCGGAUUGUAAAGCACUUUCGACGGGGACGAUGAUGACGGUACCCGUAGAAGAAGCCCCGGCUAACUUCGUGCCAGCAGCCGCGGUAAUACGAAGGGGGCUAGCGUUGCUCGGAAUGACUGGGCGUAAAGGGCGCGUAGGCGGUUCGGUUAGUUAGGCGUGAAAUUCCUGGGCUUAACCUGGGGACUGCGCUUAAUACAGCCGGGCUUGAGUUCGGAAGAGGGUAGUGGAAUUCUCAGUGUAGAGGUGAAAUUCGUAGAUAUUGGGAAGAACACCGGUGGCGAAGGCGGCUACCUGGUCCGAUACUGACGCUGAGGCGCGAAAGCGUGGGGAGCAAACAGGAUUAGAUACCCUGGUAGUCCACGCUGUAAACGAUGUGUGCUGGAUGUUGGGCGACCUAGUCGCUCAGUGUCGUAGCUAACGCGAUAAGCACACCGCCUGGGGAGUACGGCCGCAAAGGUUGAA
Molecule: ribosomal RNA, 569 nt
Filed under: uncultured soil bacterium
Lineage: Bacteria
Description: bacterial SSU rRNA
Rfam family: Bacterial small subunit ribosomal RNA
Source: RNAcentral